RNAcentral lists this ribosomal RNA (499 nucleotides) under uncultured bacterium. RNAcentral's name for it is "partial 16S ribosomal RNA". It matches the Rfam family "Bacterial small subunit ribosomal RNA", at positions 28 to 507 of the family's 1533-position model. The record is from RNAcentral.
GACGAACGCUGGCGGCGUGCCUAAUACAUGCAAGUCGAGCGAAGUUUUUCUGGUGCUUGCACUAGAAAAACUUAGCGGCGAACGGGUGAGUAACACGUAAAGAACCUGCCUCAUAGACUGGGACAACUAUUGGAAACGAUAGCUAAUACCGGAUAACAGCAUUAACUGCAUGGUUGAUGUUUAAAAGUUGGUUUUGCUAACACUAUGAGAUGGCUUUGCGGUGCAUUAGCUAGUUGGUGGGGUAAAGGCCUACCAAGGCGACGAUGCGUAGCCGACCUGAGAGGGUGAUCGGCCACACUGGGACUGAGACACGGCCCAGACUCCUACGGGAGGCAGCAGUAGGGAAUCUUCCGCAAUGGGCGAAAGCCUGACGGAGCAACGCCGCGUGAGUGAAGAAGGAUUUCGGUUCGUAAAGCUCUGUUGUUAGGGAAGAAUGAUUGUGUAGUAACUAUACACAGUAGAGACGGUACCUAACCAGAAAGCCACGGCUAACUACGUG